RNAcentral lists this ribosomal RNA (465 nucleotides) under uncultured bacterium. RNAcentral's name for it is "partial 16S ribosomal RNA". It matches the Rfam family "Bacterial small subunit ribosomal RNA", at positions 28 to 507 of the family's 1533-position model. The record is from RNAcentral.
GACGAACGCUGGCGGCGUGCUUAACACAUGCAAGUCGAACGGAAAGGCCCUGCUUGCUGGGUAUACGAGUGGCGAAGGGGUGAGGAACACGUGGGCGAUCUGCCCUUCACCUCGGGAUAAGCCUGGGAAACUGGGACUAAUACCGGUUAGGAGCCCGAUUUAGUGUGGUGGUUGGAGAGUGUUUUAGGUGUGGGACGAGAUCGCGGCCUAUCCGCUUGGUGGUGGGGUAAUGGCAUACCAAGGCGGCGGCGGGUAGCCGGCCUGGGCGGGUGGACGGGCACAAUGGGCCUACGGGACGGCCCAGACGCGUACGUGAGGCAACAGUGGAGAAUAUGGCAGAAUAGGCGCGAGCCAGAUGCAGCGACGCCGCGUUGGGGAUGACGGGCUUCGGGUUGUAAACGCCUUUCUCGAGGAACGAGGCUUUUUGUGACGGUACCUAGAUAGAAAGCACCGGCUAACUACGUG